GCGAUAGCUCAGUGGUAGAGCAGAACGCUGUUAACGUUCGGGUCGCGGGUUCGAAUCCCGUUACGCA
RNAcentral lists this transfer RNA (67 nucleotides) under Alphaproteobacteria bacterium. RNAcentral's name for it is "tRNA-Asn". It matches the Rfam family "tRNA". Rfam says of the family: Transfer RNA (tRNA) molecules are approximately 80 nucleotides in length. Their secondary structure includes four short double-helical elements and three loops (D, anti-codon, and T loops). Further hydrogen bonds mediate the characteristic L-shaped molecular structure. tRNAs have two regions of fundamental functional importance: the anti-codon, which is responsible for specific mRNA codon recognition, and the 3' end, to which the tRNAs corresponding amino acid is attached (by aminoacyl-tRNA synthetases). tRNAs cope with the degeneracy of the genetic code in two manners: having more than one tRNA (with a specific anti-codon) for a particular amino acid; and 'wobble' base-pairing, i.e. permitting non-standard base-pairing at the 3rd anti-codon position. The record is from RNAcentral. Lineage: Bacteria; Pseudomonadati; Pseudomonadota; Alphaproteobacteria.